UCGAUUUUGUACUGUGUCAAGGUGGUGAGUCCUCCAAUAAAGGCAAGGAAAUUGCAUCCGAGGACCAGUAGACAGAGUGCUUCGAAAGUCUGCAUUCUAGACAUUGUGAGUAAACUUAUUAUCGUCUUAAUUAUCUAGAGUAGUUUUAUACAACUAUGUGAUUUUAUGAAAAAUGGGUUUAAAUGGUAAAUUGUUAUGUUUUAAGGGAAAUUGUGAUUUUAUAAAAUGAUUUUAUAAAUUUUCUGAAAAAUCGAAUAUUGGUUUUGAAAAUAGAGUAAUUGGAGACUGCUAGUUUGUGUUGCAAAUUUAUGGUUCUGAAUUGAAUGGCUUAUGACAAUAAAUGAGCAUGAAUGGCUAAACUGAUUUUGGUGUUAUAAUUAUUUAUACUGUGUAUUCAGCCUUGAGAGGCUAGGUUGUGAUAAAUUGCCAUGACAUGCUAGAAUGAAUUUUAUUGAUUGGUGGAUUAUAUAUUAAUUAUUUACUGCAGAGGGGGUUCCGUGGACCAGCCUAUUAGAGGGGCACGGUAAACUCCAUUAUAUUAUUACCUCGAACGGAGAGGCGCGUAGGGUAUCUCCUGGGGUAUAGCUUAGGGUUCACUUCACGCCAAACCACCACGUGAAGGGGAACUCAGCCAACGCCAAGGAACGGCUGUAUUUUUUCAAACAAAAUAUAUUUUAAGUUUACACAAAAUUUUAACAGCCUUUGGCGGACUCGGUUAGAUGCCCUGCGCAAGGUAUCACCGAGUAUGAGUUUUUGGCACAAGCCAAAUUUUAAGAAAUUCAUAAGCCAAGUUGAUUACUCGAUUUUUAUGGAUUGAUUUUAUUUGGUUGAAAUGAGUUGAAUGGUAAUGAAAUUACAGUAUGAUGAUUUAUUUUAAUUGUCUCCAUUUACUCGACUUUAGAUAGUUUAGAUGGUAUCUGUUUACUCACUGGGAUUUUAUAAUCUCACCACCCUCAUUUCCUCACAUUUCAGGCUCAGGGAAUUCCGUAGUUAGCUGACUUGAACAAGGACCUUCAUUUGGACUCGAAUCGGUAAAAGCUGUAGGUUUCCAGCUUCCGAUGCAUUUUGGAUAGAUAUGGGCCCACGUGUCACUGUAAAAGAAAUUUUAUGCUUUGGUUAUUUGCUUUAUAGUAUAUAUGAAUAUAAUUAUCUUUUACGUUAUAAG
This 1165-nucleotide long non-coding RNA is filed under the name Theobroma cacao (cacao). Its description in RNAcentral is "long non-coding RNA (TCAC_LNC001188)". The record is from RNAcentral. Lineage: Eukaryota; Viridiplantae; Streptophyta; Magnoliopsida; Malvales; Malvaceae.